UACGUAGGGGGCUAGCGUUGUCCGGAAUCAUUGGGCGUAAAGCGCGUGUAGGCGGUCCGGUAAGUCCGCUGUGAAAGUCGGGGGCUCAACCCUCGAAAGCCGGUGGAUACUGUUGGGCUAGAGUGCGGAAGAGGCGAGUGGAAUUCCUGGUGUAGCGGUGAAAUGCGCAGAUAUCAGGAGGAACACCAAUUGCGAAGGCAGCUCGCUGGGACGUAACUGACGCUGAGACGCGAAAGCGUGGGGAGCAAACAGGAUUAGAAACCCUAGUAGU
Molecule: ribosomal RNA, 271 nt
Filed under: uncultured bacterium
Lineage: Bacteria
Description: partial 16S ribosomal RNA
Rfam family: Bacterial small subunit ribosomal RNA
Source: RNAcentral